This 252-nucleotide ribosomal RNA is filed under the name uncultured bacterium. RNAcentral's name for it is "partial 16S ribosomal RNA". It matches the Rfam family "Bacterial small subunit ribosomal RNA", at positions 524 to 776 of the family's 1533-position model. The record is from RNAcentral. RNAcentral also lists the same sequence under 1 other name.
UACGUAGGUCCCGAGCGUUGUCCGGAUUUAUUGGGCGUAAAGCGAGCGCAGGUGGUUUAUUAAGUCUGGUGUAAAAGGCAGUGGCUCAACCAUUGUAUGCAUUGGAAACUGGUAGACUUGAGUGCAGGAGAGGAGAGUGGAAUUCCAUGUGUAGCGGUGAAAUGCGUAGAUAUAUGGAGGAACACCGGUGGCGAAAGCGGCUCUCUGGCCUGUAACUGACACUGAGGCUCGAAAGCGUGGGGAGCGAACAGG